Cephus cinctus (wheat stem sawfly) is the source of this 1387-nucleotide long non-coding RNA. RefSeq lists it as uncharacterized. The record is from RefSeq and is a predicted model, not a curated record. Lineage: Eukaryota; Metazoa; Arthropoda; Insecta; Hymenoptera; Cephidae. The transcript has 2 exons.
CACCUUUUUCUUAUUGUCAGUUAUGUUUCUUUUCAAGUUGUAUUACGAUACAUCCAAUUGGCAAAUAAGACGUUUAAGAUAUGCACAUGUAAAAUACGUAACCUGUAGGAUAUAUUCGCAUCGCAUUUGCAACACGUAGGAUACUGACGUGUAAGAUAUAUGCCUCUUCCGGUUAUAAUUGAAAAAAAAUAAUUUAUGAUUAUUAAUAAAUCUGUAUCAUCUUGAGUAAUUUGCAAAUAAUUUUUAACACACGAUAAAUUAUUAUCGUCGUUAAUCAAAAUAUAUUAAGAUCAACUUUUACUUUUCGCUUUACAAGAAAUUACUGUUCUGAGGAACUGAUUAUGUAUGAUCCGAUGUCUAGUCUGCGUUAUAAGCAUGUCAAGGCUAGUUGGUAUUAUUAUUACUAUUUAUAGUAGCUAUAAAAUUCGCAAGGCAAAGACAUUUCGUAUGAAGAUUUUUAACAGAGUAAAUAACUUUAUUAAACAUUCAAGCAAUUGAGAUACUGACAUUUAGUUAAUAAUUUUUAUCCCAAGCCUUUAACAAAGAGUCAAAAAAAAUGUAUUAGGGCUUUCAUUCAUAUAGCAAUAUUAGGCCUAUUUAAUUCAAAAAUAAUGGCAGUUAUAUUACUACGUGAGCCUCAGUUAGAAGGUUGAUCGAGUAUAUUCAAUUUAAAUUCCUCAAUACGCUUGUGUACUCGUUAAUAGUUUUUCAUCACCGAGAGUUCGGAAUUAUUUAAAUAAUAAAAAUAUACAUUGAAUAAAACCAACGUAGCCAGUCUGUAAUUUAAUACCUGAAAUAAUGCCCGUUGUGUUCAAACGUAAAAGCAUCCCGAGCAUAUGAAUUAGCGAAUUUCACACUCUGACCUAAAUAAACAUCCACCUCCUAAAAACCACCGAGUAUAAAAGUCUUUCUGCAGUUUAAAAGGACACCAGUCAAUUUUGAAACACUUGUACAUACGCUAGGCUAGUCAAGUUGACAAAGAGAAUCGAGAAGAAUGAGUUCCUUAAGACGAUCGAUCCUGAUAUAUAUACUAAUAUCAACAGCCUUAUUGAAUUCGUCAUUAUCCUUACCAACACCAGUACCUCAUCCGGCAGGAGCCAUAACAGCAUAUCCAAUACCACAGAGACCUGGAUACGCACCGAAUCCAUGGGUUUACCCAAAGCCUACAACAGCGAGAACAAAGAAAUACUAAAAUCCAUUAAAAUCAUUAAAAUCAUUAUUGCUCAUUACUUUUCGUCAUACAUACGAGUACAUCCGCUACAAGAGAAACUAUAUAUUUCGUCCUAUACGUAUUAUUUAUAAUAAAGUAAAAAAAUUGCCAUUGCGUAAUUCUCAAUGUCCCAGCCACUCGAAUAGCUGAGAAUAAAUUUUAAAAAGAACAAGCUAA